GACGUUUAUUGUUCCUUGCUGAUGUUGUGUUGCCGUGUUUUUUUGUUUUUUCGCCGGGAAACGUUCCAAACUGCACAUUAAGACGCGUGUGUAGUGUCAGUGACAGUUAAGAUAGCAAUUCGCUUGUUCAUCGCCUAAUUAAGUUUUAGUUGUUUAAAUCAGAGCUCCGCAACAAGGCAGUCUACUGAAGAGCGUUGAUAAGCGGGGGUUCAUUUAACCACAACGUAACUCUUUAAAAAAAAAAAUACGAAGGCAUCCACCGAAAGUUUGAGGCCACAGCCCAGCCAUGUGGUGUGGGGACUGGAGCCAGCUGCCACAGGAGUCCUUACGCUUCCUGGUCGCGUCGUCACAAAAUGGCCCCGUACUGGAGGUGCGCUCAGUCGUUCU
Molecule: long non-coding RNA, 387 nt
Organism: Rhipicephalus sanguineus (brown dog tick)
Lineage: Eukaryota; Metazoa; Arthropoda; Arachnida; Ixodida; Ixodidae
Exons: 3
Source: RefSeq, a predicted model, not a curated record